UGGGGGAUUUUGCACAAUGGGCGCAAGCCUGCUGCAGCGACGCCGCGUGAGGGAUGAAGGCCUUCGUGUUGUAAACCUCUUUCGCUGGGUUGAAAGGCCAUGCUUUGGGUGUGGUUGAUUUGAACGGGUAAAGAAGUACCGGCCAACUACGUGCCAGCAGCCGCGGUAAUACUUAGAGUACUAGCGUUGCCCGGAUUUAUUGGGCGUAAAGGGCUUGUAGGUGGUUUGUCGCGUCUGUCGUGAAAUCCUGUGGCUUAACCAUUGGCAUGCGGUGGGUACGGUGAAGCUUGAGUGCGGUAGGGGGGACUGGAAUUCCUGGUGUAGAGGUGGAAUACGCAGAUAUCAGGAGGAACACCGGUGGCGAAGGCGGGUCUCUGGGCCAUUACUGACACUGAGGAGCGAAAGCGUGGGGAGCGAACAGG
Molecule: ribosomal RNA, 422 nt
Filed under: Fusobacteriota bacterium
Lineage: Bacteria; Fusobacteriati; Fusobacteriota
Description: Fusobacteria bacterium partial 16S ribosomal RNA
Rfam family: Bacterial small subunit ribosomal RNA
Source: RNAcentral